RNAcentral lists this ribosomal RNA (497 nucleotides) under uncultured bacterium. RNAcentral's name for it is "partial 16S ribosomal RNA". It matches the Rfam family "Bacterial small subunit ribosomal RNA", at positions 28 to 507 of the family's 1533-position model. The record is from RNAcentral.
GACGAACGCUGGCGGCGUGCCUAAUGCAUGCAAGUAGAACGCUGAAGAGAGGAGCUUGCUCUUCUUGGAUGAGUUGCGAACGGGUGAGUAACGCGUAGGUAACCUGCCUUGUAGCGGGGGAUAACUAUUGGAAACGAUAGCUAAUACCGCAUAACAAUGGAUGACACAUGUCAUUUAUUUGAAAGGGGCAAUUGUUCCACUACAAGAUGGACCUGCGUUGUAUUAGCUAGUAGGUGAGGUAAUGGCUCACCUAGGCGACGAUACAUAGCCGACCUGAGAGGGUGAUCGGCCACACUGGGACUGAGACACGGCCCAGACUCCUACGGGAGGCAGCAGUAGGGAAUCUUCGGCAAUGGGGGCAACCCUGACCGAGCAACGCCGCGUGAGUGAAGAAGGUUUUCGGAUCGUAAAGCUCUGUUGUAAGUCAAGAACGGGUGUGAGAGUGGAAAGUUCACACUGUGACGGUAGCUUACCAGAAAGGGACGGCUAACUACGUG